Molecule: ribosomal RNA, 484 nt
Filed under: uncultured bacterium
Lineage: Bacteria
Description: partial 16S ribosomal RNA
Rfam family: Bacterial small subunit ribosomal RNA
Source: RNAcentral
AUUGAACGCUGGCGGCAGGCCUAACACAUGCAAGUCGAGCGGAUGAAGGGAGCUUGCUCCUGGAUUCAGCGGCGGACGGGUGAGUAAUGCCUAGGAAUCUGCCUGGUAGUGGGGGAUAACGUCUGGAAACGGGCGCUAAUACCGCAUACGUCCUGAGGGAGAAAGUGGGGGAUCUUCGGACCUCACGCUAUCAGAUGAGCCUAGGUCGGAUUAGCUAGUUGGUGGGGUAAAGGCCUACCAAGGCGACGAUCCGUAACUGGUCUGAGAGGAUGAUCAGUCACACUGGAACUGAGACACGGUCCAGACUCCUACGGGAGGCAGCAGUGGGGAAUAUUGGACAAUGGGCGAAAGCCUGAUCCAGCCAUGCCGCGUGUGUGAAGGAGGUCUUCGGAUUGUAAAGCACUUUAAGUUGGGAGGAAGGGCAGUAAGUUAAUACCUUGCUGUUUUGACGUUACCAACAGAAUAAGCACCGGCUAACUUCGUG